This 490-nucleotide ribosomal RNA is filed under the name Fusarium culmorum. Its description in RNAcentral is "eukaryotic LSU rRNA". The stretch from base 137 to 290 matches the Rfam family "5.8S ribosomal RNA". Lineage: Eukaryota; Fungi; Ascomycota; Sordariomycetes; Hypocreales; Nectriaceae. The record is from RNAcentral. RNAcentral also lists the same sequence under 1 other name.
CUCCCAAACCCCUGUGAACAUACCUUAUGUUGCCUCGGCGGAUCAGCCCGCGCCCCGUAAAAAGGGACGGCCCGCCGCAGGAACCCUAAACUCUGUUUUUAGUGGAACUUCUGAGUAUAAAAAACAAAUAAAUCAAAACUUUCAACAACGGAUCUCUUGGUUCUGGCAUCGAUGAAGAACGCAGCAAAAUGCGAUAAGUAAUGUGAAUUGCAGAAUUCAGUGAAUCAUCGAAUCUUUGAACGCACAUUGCGCCCGCCAGUAUUCUGGCGGGCAUGCCUGUUCGAGCGUCAUUUCAACCCUCAAGCCCAGCUUGGUGUUGGGAGCUGCAGUCCUGCUGCACUCCCCAAAUACAUUGGCGGUCACGUCGAGCUUCCAUAGCGUAGUAAUUUACAUAUCGUUACUGGUAAUCGUCGCGGCCACGCCGUUAAACCCCAACUUCUGAAUGUUGACCUCGGAUCAGGUAGGAAUACCCGCUGAACUUAAGCAUAUC